GAUGAACGCUGGCGGCGUGCCUAAUACAUGCAAGUCGAGCGAACAGAUAAGGAGCUUGCUCCUUUGACGUUAGCGGCGGACGGGUGAGUAACACGUGGGUAACCUACCUAUAAGACUGGGCUAACUUCGGGAAACCGGAGCUAAUACCGGAUAACAUUUGGAACCGCAUGGUUCUAAAGUGAAAGAUGGUUUUGCUAUCACUUAUAGAUGGACCCGCGCCGUAUUAGCUAGUUGGUAAGGUAACGGCUUACCAAGGCGACGAUACGUAGCCGACCUGAGAGGGUGAUUGGCCACACUGGAACUGAGACACGGUUCAGACUCCUACAGGAGGCAGCAGUAGGGAAUCUUCCGCAAUGGGCGAAAGCCUGACGGAGCAACGCCGCGUGAGUGAUGAAGGGUUUCGGCUCGUAAAACUCUGUUAUUAGGGAAGAACAAACGUGUAAGUCACUGUGCACGCCUUGACGGUACCUAAUCAGAGAGCCACGGCUAACUACGUGCCAGCCGCCGCGGUAA
RNAcentral lists this ribosomal RNA (513 nucleotides) under uncultured bacterium. RNAcentral describes it as "partial 16S ribosomal RNA". It matches the Rfam family "Bacterial small subunit ribosomal RNA", at positions 28 to 523 of the family's 1533-position model. The record is from RNAcentral.